RNAcentral lists this ribosomal RNA (483 nucleotides) under uncultured Anaeroplasma sp. Its description in RNAcentral is "partial 16S ribosomal RNA". Lineage: Bacteria; Bacillati; Mycoplasmatota; Mollicutes; Anaeroplasmatales; Anaeroplasmataceae. The record is from RNAcentral.
CACGUAGUUAGCCGGAGCUUAUUCCUCAGGUACCGUCAAAUUCCUCUUUCUUCCCUGAUAAAAGAACUUUACAUUACGAAUAACUUCUUCGUUCACGCGGCGUUGCUCGGUCAGGGUUCCCCCCAUUGCCGAAAACUCCCUACUGCUGCCUCCCGUGGGAGUAUGGACCGUUCUCAGUUCCAUUGUGGCCGUUCAACCUCUCAGUCCGGCUACGCAUCAUCGCCUUGGUAGGCCCUUACCCCACCAACUAGCUAAUGCGCCACAGGCCCCUCCUUAAGCAGAUCUCUCUUUAAAUAUAAAAGAUUCUUCCUCUAUAUCCUAUCCUAGUUUUAUCCUAUUCCGUUUCCAAUGGCUAUCCCUGUCUUAAGGGUAGUUACCUAUGUAUUACUCCUACCCGUUCGACCAACUAAACGUACCCGUAAGGUACCUUCCGUUACGUACUUGCAGUGUAUUAGGCACGCCGCCAGCGUUAAUCCUGACGCC